This 345-nucleotide ribosomal RNA is filed under the name Triticum aestivum (bread wheat). RNAcentral describes it as "partial small subunit ribosomal RNA". The record is from RNAcentral. Lineage: Eukaryota; Viridiplantae; Streptophyta; Magnoliopsida; Poales; Poaceae.
AUGCUCACCAAUCUCGCAAGCUCGACCUCACCUACAAGGCUACAAGCUACAAUGCGCUCACGGGCGAGCUCACACAUGCUGGAGGAGUUCCGGCUCAGGAAGAACAACCUCACCAUCACGAUCCUGCCGGCGCUCGGCAACAGGACCAGCCUCCGGUACCUGGACCUUCGGUCGAACUGCUUCGGCGGUGACCUCGGAGCCUUUGACUUCUCCCGCCUCGCCAAUCUCACCGUCUUGAACCCAAAAAUGCUACACUUACGGGGCUGGAAUUACGGAAGGAACUUACGGGGCUGUCUUGAACCUGGCCUCCAACAACCUCACCGUCACUAUGCCCAAAAAUGCUAA